RNAcentral lists this ribosomal RNA (1545 nucleotides) under Salmonella enterica. RNAcentral's name for it is "partial 23S ribosomal RNA". It matches the Rfam family "Bacterial large subunit ribosomal RNA", at positions 291 to 1756 of the family's 2925-position model. The record is from RNAcentral. Lineage: Bacteria; Pseudomonadati; Pseudomonadota; Gammaproteobacteria; Enterobacterales; Enterobacteriaceae.
AACGGGGAGGAGCCCAGAGCCUGAAUCAGCAUGUGUGUUAGUGGAAGCGUCUGGAAAGGCGCGCGAUACAGGGUGACAGCCCCGUACACAAAAGCGCAUAUGCUGUGAGCUCGAUGAGUAGGGCGGGACACGUGGUAUCCUGUCUGAAUAUGGGGGGACCAUCCUCCAAGGCUAAAUACUCCUGACUGACCGAUAGUGAACCAGUACCGUGAGGGAAAGGCGAAAAGAACCCCGGCGAGGGGAGUGAAACAGAACCUGAAACCGUGUACGUACAAGCAGUGGGAGCACAGGUUUACCUGUGUGACUGCGUACCUUUUGUAUAAUGGGUCAGCGACUUAUAUUCUGUAGCAAGGUUAACCGCAUAGGGGAGCCGAAGGGAAACCGAGUCUUAACCGGGCGUUAAGUUGCAGGGUAUAGACCCGAAACCCGGUGAUCUAGCCAUGGGCAGGUUGAAGGUUGGGUAACACUAACUGGAGGACCGAACCGACUAAUGUUGAAAAAUUAGCGGAUGACCUGUGGCUGGGGGUGAAAGGCCAAUCAAACCGGGAGAUAGCUGGUUCUCCCCGAAAGCUAUUUAGGUAGCGCCUCGUGAAUUCAUCUCCGGGGGUAGAGCACUGUUUCGGCUAGGGGGCCAUCCCGGCUUACCAACCCGAUGCAAACUGCGAAUACCGGAGAAUGUUAUCACGGGAGACACACGGCGGGUGCUAACGUCCGUCGUGAAGAGGGAAACAACCCAGACCGCCAGCUAAGGUCCCAAAGUCAUGGUUAAGUGGGAAACGAUGUGGGAAGGCCCAGACAGCCAGGAUGUUGGCUUAGAAGCAGCCAUCAUUUAAAGAAAGCGUAAUAGCUCACUGGUCGAGUCGGCCUGCGCGGAAGAUGUAACGGGGCUAAACCAUGCACCGAAGCUGCGGCAGCGAACGUAUCACUUAAAACGAUUCAGAAGCUUACGAUUGACGGAGCGAAGCGACGUCAAAGCGUAUACAAAGUCGAGUCGGUUUAAGGAUACGUUCGUUGGGUAGGGGAGCGUUCUGUAAGCCUGUGAAGGUGGCCUGUGAGGGUUGCUGGAGGUAUCAGAAGUGCGAAUGCUGACAUAAGUAACGAUAAAGCGGGUGAAAAGCCCGCUCGCCGGAAGACCAAGGGUUCCUGUCCAACGUUAAUCGGGGCAGGGUGAGUCGACCCCUAAGGCGAGGCCGAAAGGCGUAGUCGAUGGGAAACGGGUUAAUAUUCCCGUACUUGGUGUUACUGCGAAGGGGGGACGGAGAAGGCUAUGUUGGCCGGGCGACGGUUGUCCCGGUUUAAGCAUGUAGGCGGAUGUUCCAGGUAAAUCCGGAACGUUACUAACGCUGAGGUGUGAUGACGAGGCACUACGGUGCUGAAGCAACAAAUGCCCUGCUUCCAGGAAAAGCCUCUAAGCAUCAGGUAACAUCAAAUCGUACCCCAAACCGACACAGGUGGUCAGGUAGAGAAUACCAAGGCGCUUGAGAGAACUCGGGUGAAGGAACUAGGCAAAAUGGUGCCGUAACUUCGGGAGAAGGCACGCUGACA